RNAcentral lists this transfer RNA (71 nucleotides) under Grylloblatta sculleni. RNAcentral describes it as "tRNA-Ser". It matches the Rfam family "tRNA". From Rfam's summary of the family: Transfer RNA (tRNA) molecules are approximately 80 nucleotides in length. Their secondary structure includes four short double-helical elements and three loops (D, anti-codon, and T loops). Further hydrogen bonds mediate the characteristic L-shaped molecular structure. tRNAs have two regions of fundamental functional importance: the anti-codon, which is responsible for specific mRNA codon recognition, and the 3' end, to which the tRNAs corresponding amino acid is attached (by aminoacyl-tRNA synthetases). tRNAs cope with the degeneracy of the genetic code in two manners: having more than one tRNA (with a specific anti-codon) for a particular amino acid; and 'wobble' base-pairing, i.e. permitting non-standard base-pairing at the 3rd anti-codon position. Lineage: Eukaryota; Metazoa; Arthropoda; Insecta; Grylloblattodea; Grylloblattidae. The record is from RNAcentral.
AGUUAAUAAGCCUAAUGAAUAGGCAUUUGUUUUGAAAACAUAUAAUAGAAGUUUAAAUCUCCUAUUAACUU